RNAcentral lists this ribosomal RNA (468 nucleotides) under uncultured bacterium. RNAcentral's name for it is "partial 16S ribosomal RNA". It matches the Rfam family "Bacterial small subunit ribosomal RNA", at positions 28 to 507 of the family's 1533-position model. The record is from RNAcentral.
GACGAACGCUGGCGGCGUGCUUAACACAUGCAAGUCGAACGGAAAGGCCCUGCUUUUGUGGUGUACUCGAGUGGCGAACGGGUGAGUAACACGUGAGUAACCUGCCCUUGACUUUGGGAUAACUUCAGGAAACUGGGGCUAAUACCGGAUAUGAGCUCCUGCUGCAUGGGGGGGGUUGGAAAGUUUCGGCGGUUGGGGAUGGACUCGCGGCUUAUCAGCUUGUUGGUGGGGUAGUGGCUUACCAAGGCUUUGACGGGUAGCCGGCCUGAGAGGGUGACCGGCCACAUUGGGACUGAGAUACGGCCCAGACUCCUACGGGAGGCAGCAGUGGGGAAUAUUGCACAAUGGGCGGAAGCCUGAUGCAGCAACGCCGCGUGCGGGAUGACGGCCUUCGGGUUGUAAACCACUUUCGCCUGUGACGAAGCGUGAGUGACGGUAAUGGGUAAAGAAGCACCGGCUAACUACGUG